RNAcentral lists this ribosomal RNA (402 nucleotides) under uncultured bacterium. Its description in RNAcentral is "bacterial SSU rRNA". It matches the Rfam family "Bacterial small subunit ribosomal RNA", at positions 355 to 774 of the family's 1533-position model. The record is from RNAcentral.
UCGGGAAUUUUGGGCAAUGGGCGAAAGCCUGACCCAGCAACGCCGCGUGAGGGAUGAAGUAUUUCGGUAUGUAAACCUCGAAAGAAUGGGAAGAAUAAAUGACGGUACCAUUUAUAAGCUCCGGCUAACUACGUGCCAGCAGCCGCGGUAAUACGUAGGGAGCAAGCGUUGUUCGGAUUUACUGGGCGUAAAGGGCGCGUAGGCGGCGCGGUAAGUCACUUGUGAAAUCUCUGGGCUUAACUCAGAACGGCCAAGUGAUACUGCUGUGCUAGAGUGCGGAAGAGGCAACCGGAAUUCUUGGUGUAGCGGUGAAAUGCAUAGAUAUCAAGAGGAACACCUGAGGCGAAGGCGGGUUGCUGGGCCGACACUGACGCUGAUGCGCGAAAGCCAGGGGAGCAAACG